AGUUAAUGAAUUUGAAUAAGUUUAUAUUUUGAAAAUAUAAGAUAGAAAUUAAAAUUUUCUAUUAACUA
RNAcentral lists this transfer RNA (68 nucleotides) under Saphonecrus sp. ZJUH 20220015. Its description in RNAcentral is "tRNA-Ser". Lineage: Eukaryota; Metazoa; Arthropoda; Insecta; Hymenoptera; Cynipidae. The record is from RNAcentral.